GUGGGUAUCUCAGGAUUUGGUUGUGCGUCUCGGAUGAUUGAUGGCAACAACACUUCAUGGACCUGAGUGAUUCACUUUGAGGCAAGGUGGGGUUGACGAUUCGUGAAGAUAGUAGUUCUCAUUUGGCACAAAGAACAACGUGGUGAGACUGAAUGUUGUGCUGAGGUAGAACUUCGAAGCGUGAUAGCAAUGUUGAGGAAACCUUUGUUAUGCUUUGCACUGGAGGAUUUCUGCAACCUGAAGAAAGCGAAUUCCCUACUGUAACAUCCUGAACCUGGUUUUUUUAAUUACAUUUGUAUUGUGUUGUUCAACAUGAUUUUAGAAAGGAGGAAUUCAUAGACGUUUGCAGCAUAACUCCAGAGUGGGUUGAUUCUCAUAGCUGGGUUCUUUCUUUGUCACCAUGUUUUGAUAAUUACCAGGAAGACAAACUUUCUACAUCACUAGAUCAACAUUAUUUGCACUAGUUUACAUAUUCCAUGUCUCAUAUAAAUAAUUCUUAUCCAUGUGUUUUCUUUGCUCUAU
This 522-nucleotide long non-coding RNA is filed under the name Physcomitrium patens. RNAcentral's name for it is "long non-coding RNA (PPAT_LNC008309)". The record is from RNAcentral. Lineage: Eukaryota; Viridiplantae; Streptophyta; Bryopsida; Funariales; Funariaceae.